CCCUUAGAUGUCCUGGGCUGCACGCGCGCUACACUGAUGUGUCCAGUAAGCACCUAACCUCUUCCGAAGGGAACGAACGGGUAACCUUAGCAAAGCACAUCGUGAUGGGGAUAGAUUAUUGCAAUUAUUAGUCUUGAACGAGGAAUUCCUAGUAAGCACAAGUCAUCAGCUUGUGUUGAUUACGUCCCUGCCCUUUGUACACACCGCCCGUCGCUCCUACCGAUUGAAUGUUCCGGUGAAUACUUCGGACUGCGAGGUCUGCAGUUUUUCUGCGUUCCUUGCGGAAAGUUGAAUAAACCUUUUAACAUCUAGAGGAAGGAGAAGUCGUAACA
RNAcentral lists this ribosomal RNA (332 nucleotides) under uncultured eukaryote. Its description in RNAcentral is "partial 18S ribosomal RNA". It matches the Rfam family "Eukaryotic small subunit ribosomal RNA", at positions 1470 to 1796 of the family's 1831-position model. The record is from RNAcentral.